GGGGGCGUAUUUGGCUUCGACGGGGGCAGAGGAGAUUGGAUAAGCGAGCCGCGGGCCUCCUGGAACCGCGUUAAAAACCGGGUAAAGCGUAAUAAACGCCAACAAUCAAAAAUUAGCUUACGCGGCUUAAUCACCGUGUACAUCCGUCCUUAGCUUCCUGCGGCUAGGGGUACGGGUGCCAUUAAAGCAGGGAACGAACCCGCCUAAGCUUUGCGGCGGGCCGGAUUAAUGAAGCUACCGGCUCGGCACCUUGCCGACUAGGGGCCGCUGCCCGGGAAAUCAAAUAAUCGGCUGCGCUCGGAGAAAGUCUGGUUAAAUCGCUUUCGGACAGGGGUUCGACUCCCCUCGCCUCCACCA
RNAcentral lists this transfer-messenger RNA (357 nucleotides) under Luoshenia tenuis. RNAcentral's name for it is "Standard tmRNA". It matches the Rfam family "transfer-messenger RNA". From Rfam's summary of the family: Bacterial tmRNA, also known as 10Sa RNA or SsrA, is named for its dual tRNA and mRNA-like properties. Its role is to liberate the mRNA from a stalled ribosome. The record is from RNAcentral. Lineage: Bacteria; Bacillati; Bacillota; Clostridia; Christensenellales; Christensenellaceae. RNAcentral also lists the same sequence under 2 other names.